GACGAACGCUGGCGGCGUGCUUAACACAUGCAAGUCGAACGGGCUGAAGUGGUAGCUUGCUAUUAUGGAUGCUAGUGGCAAACGGGUGAGUAACGCGUAGGCAACCUGCCCUUCAGAUGGGGACAACACUUCGAAAGAGGUGCUAAUACCGAAUGACGUAUCCAUUCCGCAUGGAGAGGAUACCAAAGGCCGGGCAACCGGUCACUGAAGGAUGGGCCUGCGUCUGAUUAGCUAGUUGGUGGGGUAACGGCUUACCAAGGCGACGAUCAGUAGCCGGUCUGAGAGGAUGAACGGCCACAUUGGAACUGAGACACGGUCCAG
Molecule: ribosomal RNA, 321 nt
Filed under: uncultured bacterium
Lineage: Bacteria
Description: bacterial SSU rRNA
Rfam family: Bacterial small subunit ribosomal RNA
Source: RNAcentral